Molecule: ribosomal RNA, 307 nt
Filed under: uncultured Acidobacteriota bacterium
Lineage: Bacteria; Pseudomonadati; Acidobacteriota
Description: bacterial SSU rRNA
Rfam family: Bacterial small subunit ribosomal RNA
Source: RNAcentral
CACGAGCGCAACCCCUAUUGAUAGUUGCCAACAGGUAAUGCUGGGAACUCUAUCAAGACUGCCGUUGAUAAAACGGAGGAAGGUGGGGACGAUGUCAAGUCAUCAUGGCCUUUAUGUUCAGGGCUACACACGUGCUACAAUGGUUGGUACAAAACGUCGCAAUCUCGUAAGAGUGAGCUAAUCGCAUAAAACCAAUCUCAGUUCGGAUUGAAGUCUGCAACUCGACUUCAUGAAGUUGGAAUCGCUAGUAAUCGCGGAUCAGCAUGCCGCGGUGAAUACGUUCCCGGGUCUUGCACACACCGCCCGU